UAGAUACUAUGAACCACCAGGUAGACUCUUACAGAUACUAUGAACCACCAGGUAGACUCUUACAGAUACUAUGAACCACCAGGUAGACUCUUAUAGAUACUAUGAACCACCAGGUAGACUCUUAUAGAUACUAUGAACCACCAGGUAGACUCUUAUAGAUACUAUGAACCACCAGGUAGACUCUUAUCGAUACUAUGAACCACCAGGUAGACUCUUAUCGAUACUAUGAACCACCAGGUAGACUCUUAUAGAUACUAUGAACCAUGGGGAUAUACACCAGGUAGACUCUUAUAGAUACUAUGAACCACCAGGUAGACUCUUAUCGAUACUAUGAACCACCAGGUAGACUCUUAUAGAUACUAUGAACCACCAGGUAGACUUAUAGAUACUAUGAACCAUGGAGAUAUACACCAGGUAGACUCUUAUAGAUACUAUGAACCACCAGGUAGACUCUUAUCGAUACUAUGAACCACCAGGUAGACUCUUAUCGAUACUAUGAACCACCAGGUAGACUCUUAUCGAUACUAUGAACCCACCAGGUAGACUCUUAUAGAUACUAUGAACCACCAGGUAGACUCUUACAGAUACUAUGAACCACCAGGUAGACUCUUAUAGACACUAUGAACCACC
Long non-coding RNA from Oncorhynchus keta (chum salmon), 630 nucleotides. RefSeq lists it as uncharacterized. The transcript is spliced from 5 exons. Lineage: Eukaryota; Metazoa; Chordata; Actinopteri; Salmoniformes; Salmonidae. The record is from RefSeq and is a predicted model, not a curated record.